CAGUCGCCACGGUAAAACGUAGGGUGCAAGCGUUAAUCGGAAUUACUGGGCGUAAAGCGUGCGCAGGCGGUGUUGUAAGACUGAUGUGAAAUCCCCGGGCUCAACCUGGGAACUGCAUUGGUGACUGCAACGCUGGAGUGCGGCAGAGGGGGAUGGAAUUCCGCGUGUAGCAGUGAAAUGCGUAGAUAUGCGGAGGAACACCGAUGGCGAAGGCAAUCCCCUGGGCCUGCACUGACGCUCAUGCACGAAAGCGUGGGGAGCAAACAGGAUUAGAUACCCCCGUAGUCCCUGUCUCUUAUAC
This 301-nucleotide ribosomal RNA is filed under the name uncultured bacterium. Its description in RNAcentral is "partial 16S ribosomal RNA". It matches the Rfam family "Bacterial small subunit ribosomal RNA", at positions 509 to 807 of the family's 1533-position model. The record is from RNAcentral.